GGAGGUUUAAAGUUAGUCCUUGAAUGGUUCCUUCCUUGUUUUGCUGAGAUACAGAACAGGUACCACGAAUCCUACCAGGACUGAAACAUGGUCUUAGAAGACGUAAUUUCCCUAGAAUCCUUGGCUCUGAAAGAUCUCCAUUUGCAUUUUUUAUGUGUUUCUUUUUCCCUAGACGACAUGCAUACCAGUACCCUGCCAUUCUUCCCAAUACCCCUGUCUGUAGGACGGCAAAGGAGUAAGGAACACCCAGUUCAUCUUCAACCAGAGUGAACGGUCCCUUUCAUGUACGCGUCGGGGUUCAGGCAAUUCAGCCAGGGCCUAAGGUGUAUUUAUUUGGGCUCCUUCUGACUCUAUUUUAGCUCUGCAGGAAGGGAUCAGGCUUUUUAUUCCACUUUUAUUCCUCACUUUUAUGUUUCAGUUCAGAAUCUUUCUGGCUCAGAGAACGGGGACAGCAGCAAAACAACAACAACAACAACAAAACAAAUGAGAAGGUACAGGAAAUGACAUCAGCACCUCAAAGCCCUGGUGCCGCCUCUGUCUCAGGCAGAAUGGGAAGGAAGGGAGGCCAGGGAAGAGUCACUGUCACCUAAGGACAAAGUCUUUUCAGCAAGAGGCAGAUGAAAGGAAAUGGUGGUAAAUAACACACAUCCUCAAAACAGACAUAAAUCAGAGCUGAGAUUCCAUCCUGGUGUUCUGGUGACAUGAACCAGGAGAACAAAGCCGAGGGAGAUCUUAAAAUGUCAUCGCCUGGCUUCUCUGAGGAGUUAUAGCUUUGUUAUUUACUAUGCAGAGGCAGAGAUGUGAGAUUCCUCAGGUUUGGCAGAGCUGGUGGUCUUUCAGGUCGCUGUCCUGCUGGUCUCCAUUCCACAUCACCACAUCCAUUUGAGUGGCUCAUCAGUGAUUUGCUAGAAGUGGGAGGAGAUCUCUCUUUCUGUCUCUCUCUCUCUCUCUCUCUCUCUCUCUUUCUCUCUCUCUCUCUCUCUCUCUCAAGGUGAACUAUCCAGGAUCAGGAUGGACUAAGAAGGAAGAAGUAACGGAAUGCUGGGCAGUCAGCUGCACCAGUGAGGACCUCGAUUCAGAGAGCCACUGCACGUGUGCCAGGCACGCUGACCAAACCCCUGCCCACUCCCUCUGGCAGCGGGGAAAUUUGCUUUCAUGUCCGUGAGCUGCAAAAAUGGCCAGCUGGCUGGGGCUCCGGGCGUUAGCAGCCUCCCCGUGGCUGUUCCAAAGCCUGAGCCAGCACCCCCAGCCUCCAGCUGCUCCUCCACCGGCUGAAGCUGAGAAAGUCGCCUGCAACCUGGUGGCAAAUCCGGAUGGCCACAGCCGGGCCAUGUUUCAUUUGUAUGCCUGCAGUUUCCUUCUGCUUUCAGAAGGGAGAAAUUCAGACAUCAGCCUGAGCUUUGUGAGAAGUUUCAUUUCUGUGUUUUUCAGACCGCGAUGAGCCGUGCUGGCAGAUUGUCCCCGCAGAAUGGUGUGUGGGGACCGGGCAAGGCGACCAGCGGUCGUAGAGGUUUCCAACGAGGCUGUGGGGGCAUGUGACCAGCAGGAUUCCCCUGAUGGACAAGGGAGGGUGAGCGGCCUCCUCCUGAAUGCGGAGAUUUAUUUCUAUUGGCAUAAACACAACAAAUGAAACCCUGACGGCUUUUCUCGCUCUGAAAGCCAAGAAUAUAUCAUAUCAUUCAUCAUGAAAGCACUGCUCUGGACUAGGUGCUGGAACACAGCAGCGACCCGCGGGGGACUCGUGGGGAACAGAGCAGAGCUGCGAUCGGAGGGAGUAUGAGUGCAGAGGAGAAGUCUGGAUGGCGCCCAGUAGUGCUACGCGAUGUGUAUGCCGCGCGCGGUUCACAUCCCAUCCACUCUCGGGUCUGG
Fukomys damarensis (Damara mole-rat) is the source of this 1869-nucleotide long non-coding RNA. RefSeq lists it as uncharacterized. The record is from RefSeq and is a predicted model, not a curated record. Lineage: Eukaryota; Metazoa; Chordata; Mammalia; Rodentia; Bathyergidae. The transcript is spliced from 3 exons.